This 213-nucleotide unclassified non-coding RNA is filed under the name Glomus sp. RNAcentral's name for it is "partial contains 5.8S ribosomal RNA and internal transcribed spacer 2". Lineage: Eukaryota; Fungi; Glomeromycota; Glomeromycetes; Glomerales; Glomeraceae. The record is from RNAcentral.
GUGAAUCAUCGAAUUUUUGAACGCAAAUUGCACUCUCCUCUGAGAGGAUGCCUGUUUGAGGUUCAGCCUAUAUAAAAUCGACAUCAUUGCUGUUUCGCGGUGGCGGUCGUCGGAAAUUGGGUCAGCUUAAAUCCUUUUGGUUUUUAAGCGACUUAAAAUUUUCUGUUUGGUUCCAUGAACGUUUCUAAUAUUUAUUUUUUUACACGGUUAAGU